This 506-nucleotide ribosomal RNA is filed under the name uncultured bacterium. RNAcentral's name for it is "bacterial SSU rRNA". It matches the Rfam family "Bacterial small subunit ribosomal RNA", at positions 9 to 524 of the family's 1533-position model. The record is from RNAcentral.
GAGUUUGAUCCUGGCUCAGAACGAACGCUGGCGGCGCGCCUAAUACAUGCAAGUCGAGCGAGAAGGUGUAGCAAUACACUUGUAAAGCGGCGAACGGGUGAGGAAUGCAUGGGUAACCUACCCUCGAGUGGGGAAUAACUAGCCGAAAGGUUAGCUAAUACCGCAUACGUUUCCGGAACUUCGGUUUCGGAAAGAAAGCAAUACCGUGGGUAUUGCGCUCAUGGAUGGGCUCAUGUCCUAUCAGCUUGUUGGUGAGGUAACGGUUCACCAAGGCUUCGACGGGUAGCUGGUCUGAGAGGACGAUCAGCCACACUGGCACUGCGACACGGGCCAGACUCCUACGGGAGGCAGCAGUAAGGAAUAUUGCGCAAUGGACGAAAGUCUGACGCAGCGACGCCGCGUGGGGGAUGAAGGUCUUCGGGUCGUAAACUCCUUUUCUGGGGGAUGAGAAAGGACAGUACCCCAGGAAUAAGUCUCGGCUAACUACGUGCCAGCAGCACGGUAUC